UGGGGAAUAUUGCUCAAUGGGCGAAAGCCUGAAGCAGCGACGCCGCGUGGGUGACGAAGUCUUUCGGGAUGUAAAGCCCUUUCGGUGGGAACGAUAAUGACGGUACCCACAAAAGAAGGCCCGGCUAACUACGUGCCAGCAGCCGCGGUAAUACGUAGGGGCCUAGCGUUGUCCGGAUUUACUGGGCGUAAAGCGCAUGUAGGCGGCUAGCCAAGUCAGGUGUUAAAUCUAGAGGCUUAACCUCUAAUCGCGCUUGAUACUAGCUUGCUUGAGUAUGGGAGAGGGAAGCGGAACUCACGGUGUAGCGGUGAAAUGCGUAGAUAUCGUGAGGAACACCAGUGGCGAAGGCGGCUUCCUGGACCAUUACUGACGCUGAGAUGCGAAAGCGUAGGGAGCAAACGGG
RNAcentral lists this ribosomal RNA (403 nucleotides) under uncultured bacterium. Its description in RNAcentral is "partial 16S ribosomal RNA". It matches the Rfam family "Bacterial small subunit ribosomal RNA", at positions 355 to 776 of the family's 1533-position model. The record is from RNAcentral.